Molecule: non-coding RNA, 46 nt
Filed under: Schistosoma margrebowiei
Lineage: Eukaryota; Metazoa; Platyhelminthes; Trematoda; Strigeidida; Schistosomatidae
Source: RNAcentral
AACCUGCUGAGGAGUCCCAUACCAGGACGAAACGGCCGUCCAGUGC